UUGAACGCUGGCGGCAUGCUUUACGCAUGCCAGUCGCACGGUAACAGGCCGCAAGGUGCUGACGAGUGGCGAACGGGUGAGUAAUGCAUCGGAACGUGCCCAGUCGUGGGGGAUAACUACUCGAAAGAGUAGCUAAUACCGCAUACGAUCUAUGGAUGAAAGCGGGGGACCGUAAGGCCUCGCGCGAUUGGAGCGGCCGAUGUCAGAUUAGGUAGUUGGUGGGGUAAAGGCUCACCAAGCCAACGAUCUGUAGCUGGUCUGAGAGGACGACCAGCCACACUGGGACUGAGACACGGCCCAGACUCCUACGGGAGGCAGCAGUGGGGAAUUUUGGACAAUGGGCGCAAGCCUGGUCCAGCAAUGCCGCGUGCAGGAAGAAGGCCUUCGGGUUGUAAACUGCUUUUGUACGGAACGAAACGGCUCUGGUUAAUACCCGGGGCUAAUGACGGUACCGUAAGAAUAAGCACCGGCUAACUACGUG
This 481-nucleotide ribosomal RNA is filed under the name uncultured bacterium. Its description in RNAcentral is "partial 16S ribosomal RNA". It matches the Rfam family "Bacterial small subunit ribosomal RNA", at positions 30 to 507 of the family's 1533-position model. The record is from RNAcentral.